This 205-nucleotide non-coding RNA is filed under the name Onchocerca ochengi. RNAcentral describes it as "Eukaryotic large subunit ribosomal RNA". It matches the Rfam family "Eukaryotic large subunit ribosomal RNA", at positions 967 to 1170 of the family's 3401-position model. Lineage: Eukaryota; Metazoa; Nematoda; Chromadorea; Rhabditida; Onchocercidae. The record is from Rfam by way of RNAcentral.
UUUCCCACAAAAUAGUUGGAGUGCGUAAUAGAGCUGUUAUAUUCGGUAAAUCACAUGACUGGAAGAACUGUGAGACAAAAUGUCUUCAAUUUUCAAAGUUUCAAUAAUUAUGACGUAUCGUUUGCUUGAAUGAAGCAUAGACAUUGAAUGUGUACUCCAAGUGGGACAUUUUUGAUAAGUAAACUUAGUAAUGUGGAAUGAACCG